ACAGCUCAAAUUUGAAAGCUAGCUCUUUUAGGGUUCGCAUUGUAAUUUGUAGAAGAUGCUUUGGGUGUGGCUCCGGUCUAAGUUCCUUGGAACAGGACGUCAUAGAGGGUGAGAAUCCCGUACGUGACUGGGUGCCUUCGCUCGUGUAAAGCUCUUUCGACGAGUCGAGUUGUUUGGGAAUGCAGCUCAAAAUGGGUGGUAAAUUUCAUCUAAAGCUAAAUAUUGGCCAGAGACCGAUA
This 239-nucleotide ribosomal RNA is filed under the name Ploettnerulaceae sp. RNAcentral describes it as "partial large subunit ribosomal RNA". It matches the Rfam family "Eukaryotic large subunit ribosomal RNA", at positions 104 to 339 of the family's 3401-position model. The record is from RNAcentral. Lineage: Eukaryota; Fungi; Ascomycota; Leotiomycetes; Helotiales; Ploettnerulaceae.